GACGAACGCUGGCGGCGUGCUUAACACAUGCAAGUCGUACGGUAAGGCCCUUUCGGGGGUACACGAGUGGCGAACGGGUGAGUAACACGUGAGUAACCUGCCCACAACUUUGGGAUAACGCUAGGAAACUGGUGCUAAUACUGGAUAUGUGCUCCUGCUGCAUGGUGGGGGUUGGAAAGCUCCGGCGGUUGUGGAUGGACUCGCGGCCUAUCAGCUUGUUGGUGGGGUAGUGGCCUACCAAGGCGGCGACGGGUAGCCGGCCUGAGAGGGUGACCGGCCACAUUGGGACUGAGAUACGGCCCAGACUCCUACGGGAGGCAGCGGUGGGGAAUAUUGCACAAUGGGCGCAAACCUGAUGCAGCAACGCCGCGUGCGGGAUGACGGCCUUCGGGUUGUAAACCGCUUUCAGCAGGGACGAAGCUUUUUGUGACGGUACCUGCAGAAGAAGCACCGGCUAACUACGUG
RNAcentral lists this ribosomal RNA (465 nucleotides) under uncultured bacterium. RNAcentral describes it as "partial 16S ribosomal RNA". It matches the Rfam family "Bacterial small subunit ribosomal RNA", at positions 28 to 507 of the family's 1533-position model. The record is from RNAcentral.